RNAcentral lists this ribosomal RNA (300 nucleotides) under uncultured Coxiella sp. Its description in RNAcentral is "bacterial SSU rRNA". It matches the Rfam family "Bacterial small subunit ribosomal RNA", at positions 42 to 337 of the family's 1533-position model. The record is from RNAcentral. Lineage: Bacteria; Pseudomonadati; Pseudomonadota; Gammaproteobacteria; Legionellales; Coxiellaceae.
GUAUGCUUAACACAUGCAAGUCGAACGGACAGAGCGGGGAGUUUAACUCCUGGGCGGCGAGUGGCGGACGGGUGAGUAAUACGUAGGAAUCUACCUUGUAGUGGGGGAUAACCCGAGGAAACUCGGGCUAAUACCGCAUAAUCUCUACUAGAGCAAAGCGGGGGAUCUUUUGGCCUCGCUCUAUAAGAUGAGCCUAUGUCGGAUUAGCUUGUUGGUAGGGUAAUGGCCUACCAAGGCGAUGAUCCGUAGCUGGUCUGAGAGGACGAUCAGCCACACUGGGACUGAGACACGGCCCAGACU